AUUGAACGCUGGCGGAAUGCUUUACACAUGCAAGUCGAACGGCAGCACGGACUUCGGUCUGGUGGCGAGUGGCGAACGGGUGAGUAAUAUAUCGGAACGUGCCCAGUCGUGGGGGAUAACGUAGUGAAAAUUACGCUAAUACCGCAUACGAUCUAUGGAUGAAAGCGGGGGAUCGCAAGACCUCGCGCGAUUGGAGCGGCCGAUAUCAGAUUAGGUAGUUGGUGAGGUAAAGGCUCACCAAGCCGACGAUCUGUAGCUGUUCUGAGAGGACGACCAGCCACAGUGGAACUGAGACACGGUCCAGACUCCUACGGGAGGCAGAAGUGGGGAAUUUUGGACAAGGGACGCAAGUCUGAUCCAGCCUUUCCGCGUGCAGGACGAAGGCCUUCGGGUUGUAAACUGCUUUUGUACAGAACGAAAAGGUCUCUAUUAAUACUAGGGGCUCAUGACGGUACUGUAAGAAUAAGCACCGGCUAACUACGUGCCAGCAGCCGCGGUAA
RNAcentral lists this ribosomal RNA (500 nucleotides) under uncultured bacterium. RNAcentral's name for it is "partial 16S ribosomal RNA". It matches the Rfam family "Bacterial small subunit ribosomal RNA", at positions 30 to 523 of the family's 1533-position model. The record is from RNAcentral.